RNAcentral lists this transfer RNA (77 nucleotides) under Patescibacteria group bacterium. RNAcentral's name for it is "tRNA-Pro". It matches the Rfam family "tRNA". Rfam says of the family: Transfer RNA (tRNA) molecules are approximately 80 nucleotides in length. Their secondary structure includes four short double-helical elements and three loops (D, anti-codon, and T loops). The record is from RNAcentral. RNAcentral also lists the same sequence under 1 other name.
CGGGCUAUAGCGCAGUUGGCUAGCGCGCUUGCAUGGGGUGCAAGAGGUCGUGGGUUCAAGUCCCACUAGCCCGACCA